Acromyrmex echinatior (Panamanian leafcutter ant) is the source of this 360-nucleotide long non-coding RNA. NCBI's taxonomy places the organism in Eukaryota, Metazoa, Arthropoda, Insecta, Hymenoptera, Formicidae. The record is from RefSeq and is a predicted model, not a curated record.
CACACACAUGGCUCACGGAAAAUACGAUAUAUUACAAUUUUUGGAAACACAUGCGGAUUCGCAGGAACCUCUGAGAUAAUGAUUUAACACGUUAAGGGAAUGCUGGAGCGAAAGCUGAACUUAAUAAAGCGUGUCCAAAAAGAUCCUGGAUUUAUAAGCUGAACAUAAAGAAUGUCUUCCAACAGACACAGUAUGAUACGGUAUGACACGAUGCAUCAUUACAGUCUUGAUGUUCGCCAAUACAAGGAUGAGAUAAUCACUGUGUUGUACUAAGUGAGUCGCUUGUUAGAAAGCACCCAUAACCUUCUCUUACCAAAGGCAAACAAUUUUCUGCUACUAUAUUUUUUCUAUUUUUGUGGA